UAGGUGAAAUCUAUUUGGCCAGUUGCGCGUAAUUUGAGUGCUCGCGGGUUUGUGAGUCGGAAGAGUUUGAGUGACCGUUCGGUUGUUCCGGUUAGGUGUACCGGGUUGAGCUCAAUUAGAGCGGUAGGAAACAAAAAGCCUUCAAAUAGCGGGUGAUAUCCGACGGUUUAGGGUUGCCAGAGCUAGAGCUUAGGGUAAACGGCGAAACUUAUUUGUAAGUUCAUAAAAGAUUGU
This is a long non-coding RNA of Uranotaenia lowii, 234 nucleotides long. RefSeq lists it as uncharacterized. Lineage: Eukaryota; Metazoa; Arthropoda; Insecta; Diptera; Culicidae. The transcript has 3 exons. The record is from RefSeq and is a predicted model, not a curated record.